ACGCGAUGGACGACGAUCAGG
RNAcentral lists this unclassified non-coding RNA (21 nucleotides) under Chlamydomonas reinhardtii. RNAcentral's name for it is "small RNA Cre_0316". Lineage: Eukaryota; Viridiplantae; Chlorophyta; Chlorophyceae; Chlamydomonadales; Chlamydomonadaceae. The record is from RNAcentral.